This 29-nucleotide small RNA is filed under the name Bombyx mori (domestic silkworm). RNAcentral's name for it is "ovarian small RNA-25042". Lineage: Eukaryota; Metazoa; Arthropoda; Insecta; Lepidoptera; Bombycidae. The record is from RNAcentral.
UCACAUAAGAGCUUCCAUGCCACUAAAUA